CGACCAACAGGGUCCACACCACCAUGGGUCUACACAGACCCAGGUCCCGCCUAGGCUGGGGCUGGCUCUGUUGGCCUCUGUGCUGGGUUUCUUCCUCUGCACCGCAAGACUGGCUCUCCUGACCUCUCCAGGUGUCAUCGAACACCCUUGUGCUUGCUGUCACCCGCUGCCUGUCUGCAGGAUCCCGGAUUCCGUAUCAGGGGACCAAAAUUAGUCGGAAAAUAGGAAGCAGGUGCUCGCUUGGAUGGAACCCUGACCCUGUGCUCACACUUGUAGGAGGAGGGCUCUGCAGGCCGCCUCCCGGAACGGGAGCUUCCCAAGCCAUUGCACUUCGGAGGGGCUGUAAUUAGAGUUGCACAUUCAUUCAGUUCCCAGGAAAGUAGAACGUGCUCCAGCCAGUGAGGAAAAGGUGUUUUUAAAAAUUAGAUUGGCCGAGUGCGGUGGCUCAUGCCUUUUACCUCAACACUUUGGGAGACCAAGGUGGGAGGAUCACCUGUGGCCAGGAGUUCAAGACCAGCCUGGGCAACAGAGUGAGCCUGUCUCU
Molecule: long non-coding RNA, 544 nt
Filed under: Pan troglodytes (chimpanzee)
Lineage: Eukaryota; Metazoa; Chordata; Mammalia; Primates; Hominidae
Description: long non-coding RNA NONPTRT009045
Source: RNAcentral